CCUACGGGGUGCUGCAGUGGGGAAUAUUGGACAAUGGGCGAAAGCCUGAUCCAGCCAUGCCGCGUGUGUGAAGAAGGCCUUCGGGUUGUAAAGCACUUUCAGUGGGGAAGAAAGCCUUGGGGCUAAUACCCUCGAGGAAGGACAUCACCCACAGAAGAAGCACCGGCUAACUCCGUGCCAGCAGCCGCGGUAAUACGGAGGGUGCGAGCGUUAAUCGGAAUUACUGGGCGUAAAGCGCGCGUAGGCGGUCUGAUAAGCCGGUUGUGAAAGCCCCGGGCUCAACCUGGGAACGGCAUCCGGAACUGUCAGGCUAGAGUGCAGGAGGGGAAGGUAGAAUUCCCGGUGUAGCGGUGAAAUGCGUAGAGAUCGGGAGGAAUACCAGUGGCGAAGGCGGCCUUCUGGACUGACACUGACGCUGAGGUGCGAAAGCGUGGGUAGCAAACAGGAUUAGAUACCCCAGUAGUC
This 465-nucleotide ribosomal RNA is filed under the name Vreelandella stevensii. RNAcentral's name for it is "partial 16S ribosomal RNA". It matches the Rfam family "Bacterial small subunit ribosomal RNA", at positions 338 to 795 of the family's 1533-position model. The record is from RNAcentral. Lineage: Bacteria; Pseudomonadati; Pseudomonadota; Gammaproteobacteria; Oceanospirillales; Halomonadaceae.